UGGGGGCCUCCUCCCGCCUCUGCGUCCGGCUGUCCGUUCGUCUGUCCGAGGCCCUGGCGCAGCCUUUAGCUUACGAUUCGUCAACGCGUAAAACGCGAUCGCCGUGAGGCCCCCCGCCUGUUUCGUGGCCUCGGAGCCCAGCAGGAGCUUCUCAAAGACCACACGGCCUCGGGGACAAUCCCCCGUGUUCGGCCAGGCUGCCCCACAGGAGCUCAAACCCCAGGACCGAGCGCCGGAGGCCCCCGACCCUCAGGCCGACCGCGAGGCGGUGAACGCCGGAGCCGAGCGGAAGCUUACCGCGGGGCCUCGAUCGGAGCCUCGGCUCGCAGGGAGGUGGUCGUUCCGAGCCCUCAGGAAAGCAGGUUCACUUCCAGGCCCCCAAAUCUGAAGUCUCCCUCUCCUCCCGCCUCCAUGCUAAUUCUCCCACCACAACCGUUUUACGGGCCUCUUUGAAUUGUAAAGACCAGGGUCCAACGUCCUACUCGUGUCCGCACCCUGGGUGGAGACUCCUCGGAGACACGGUAUCUCCUUACGAGGGAGGUUCUAACCGCCACCUCCAAGCCCGACAGCAAGGGGCCCUGCGGAGACCUGCAGACAAUCGAGCCGCGUUUCUCCCUCCUCCGUGAACGCCACGGUGGGCUCGGAGGCCUGGCAGCCCCGCGGCCCGGCAGCAGGACAACUGGUAAAGCCGUUUCGUUAGACGCAAUUUGUUUGCAAUUUGUCAACCCGACUGGGAAACGCUCCCCAGACGCCUGGGCAGCCGCACUGGCCCUACCUGCUUCUCGAAUCCUGCC
Molecule: non-coding RNA, 794 nt
Organism: Kogia breviceps (pygmy sperm whale)
Lineage: Eukaryota; Metazoa; Chordata; Mammalia; Artiodactyla; Physeteridae
Source: RefSeq, a predicted model, not a curated record